AUGCGUCGGCAGCACAUAUACUAAAAUUGGAACAAUACAGAGAAGAUUCGCAUGGCCCCUGUGCAAGGAUGACAUGCAAAUUUGUGAAGUGUUCCAUUUUUUU
Small nuclear RNA from Anolis carolinensis (green anole), 103 nucleotides. NCBI's taxonomy places the organism in Eukaryota, Metazoa, Chordata, Lepidosauria, Squamata, Anolidae. The record is from Ensembl.